This 689-nucleotide ribosomal RNA is filed under the name uncultured bacterium. RNAcentral's name for it is "bacterial SSU rRNA". It matches the Rfam family "Bacterial small subunit ribosomal RNA", at positions 32 to 715 of the family's 1533-position model. The record is from RNAcentral.
AACGCUAGCUACAGGCUUAACACAUGCAAGUCGAGGGGCAUCAGGGAUUAGCAAUAAUCUGCUGGCGACCGGCGCACGGGUGAGUAACACGUAUCCAACCUUCCGAUAACUCGGGGAUAGCCUUUCGAAAGAAAGAUUAAUACUCGAUAGUAUAAGUUUCCCUCCUGGUUAACUUAUUAAAGAAUUUCGGUUAUCGAUGGGGAUGCGUUCCAUUAGUUUGUUGGUGAGGUAACGGCUCACCAAGACUACGAUGGAUAGGGGUUCUGAGAGGAAGGUCCCCCACAUUGGAACUGAGACACGGUCCAAACUCCUACGGGAGGCAGCAGUGAGGAAUAUUGGUCAAUGGGCGGAAGCCUGAACCAGCCAAGUAGCGUGCAGGAUGACGGCCUUAUGGGUUGUAAACUGCUUUUAUACAGGAAUAAAGUUAGCCACGUGUGGUUAUUUGUAGGUACUGUAUGAAUAAGGACCGGCUAAUUCCGUGCCAGCAGCCGCGGUAAUACGGAAGGUCCAGGCGUUAUCCGGAUUUAUUGGGUUUAAAGGGAGCGUAGGCCGUCUGUUAAGCGUGUUGUGAAAUGUAGAUGCUCAACAUCUGAAUUGCAGCGCGAACUGGCAGACUUGAGUGUGCGCAACGUAGGCGGAAUUCGUGGUGUAGCGGUGAAAUGCUUAGAUAUCACGAAGAACUCCGAUUG